CAAACUGCCACCAUCUUCUCUGCAGCUGCACGUUCACUGUCGCCAGUUAUGAAUGAGUUCGUACUCAGCGAUGCGUCUCUGGGCUGCACGUAGCCGAAUGUCCACAGAGGUCACUCGGACAUACGGUAGUUCUACGUGUUACAUUUACCUGCAUCUCAACAGGAACUGAAUCAACCAAUCAACUUGUUUAACGAGCAGGUCGUUGAGAUUUGGAAAGUGUGCAUGUUGACCUACAGUUACCCACAACACCAUUCUCUGCGUAGCUUCGCAGACACGUUAAUGUGCAUCUUUGGAGAAGUUUAAGUCAUGACAGAUGCAGUUGCCCUUCAACACAGUAGGGGGCAGUGUGACUAAUCUAAUCUGCAGCGAACAUGUCAGAGUAUUUUAUGAGAUUCUGACUUGUAAAUAUUGUUCACAGCAACUUCUGAUGAAUCCGACCUGGCACUUCCUAAUACAGAAGAACCUGAAAAUCAAACAAAUAUGGACGCUUCACAUCAGCCAAAGUCUGUGGUUCGUGGUGAUUAAACCCACAUUUAAUGAAUAUGGUGUUAUAUUAUAAUUCUGUAGUCAUACAGUCGUCUCUUCAUAUUGCAAUGUCGCCGCUGUUGCAUGUUGACUUUCUGCUGGCGGUGUGUUUCUGAAGGAGGUGGAGGAGGACGUGAUUGGCUCGAAGGAACGCAGACAAACGAGCCAAUCAGCUACAAGGAGCCACGGCUGCAGACGACGAUGUUUUUUAGUCGUUAUGUCAUUGUAGAGGUUUACAGGUUGAAGUGAACUGAAAAAUCCUCAUUUGCUAGUUGCUGUGGGCAGAUAUCAAAGAUAUUACAGACUGAAAUAUGACUGAGAACAAAUUCUAAAACUUAAAGAAUCACAGUGUCGGUGGUCCGUUCAGUCAGUCGGUUGGUUUUCCAACAAACAAACCGAAGUCAGUGUAAAAUAUUGCUGACUAGCUAUUUGGCUGCUCAGAGCCUGGAGGUGAACAGAAGGACAGUCUGCGGAGGCCUUUUUCUUCAUCUCGUCCCCUGCGAUGAAACCGACACUGUCAGCGCGUCUCAUCGGUAUCUUUGGACGAGGACGUGUUGACAGAGGAGAGCAUGAAGACGUGGCCCUGCAGGAGGUCGGCGUCCAGUAGUUUCCACCGUGUGUUUAAUUGCGGUGUCUCGUUCAGCGAGGGCGACCAAUUAAAGGCCAGGAUUUCAUCCGAGACUCAGCCGGACCACCUUCAAGGUGUUCAUGCACAAAACAUAACGUCUGAAAAUCAGACUUAUAUCAGAAGAAUUUGGAGUGUUUUAUACAGAGCCUCGAUUUAAUAAUUCCUGCUAUCAUUUGAUAUCAUUUCAUAUAUUUUACUUUCUCUCCUCGCUUGGAUUGUGGAGAUAUGUGGAUACACUUAAACACAACAUGUGUUAUCUCUGUUAUCUUCCCUUGAAUGCGUUUUACAGAAUAACUUCUUCUUCUUUUUCAAACUUUUUGCUGACGUGCAAAAGACCUUUAUGGCAAAAAAUAUAAAAAUAUUUUAAAUCGAGAGCGCAAAUGAGUUUUUUCCGCCUCAGUGACCCCUAGUUCAUCUGUAGUUGUCCUGUAAACUUCUUUUUAAUGAAUAAUAAAUAAAGGUUAUUAUUGAAAUGAUUAUGAAGUCAGGUUCGGUCCUGACAGACUCUGAUUGGUGGAGCUUGUUGGGGGCGGGACAUGCUGCCUGGAAGACUGAACUCAGGGAAUAAAAAGCUUGUUGUGACUCAGCUGAAGCUUCACUCUGAUCCACUGCAGAUGGAGGCGGAGCUACAGCAGAUCCUGGUCCAGGUGUCCGACCUGCAGCACUGGAGG
Molecule: long non-coding RNA, 1824 nt
Organism: Thunnus maccoyii (southern bluefin tuna)
Lineage: Eukaryota; Metazoa; Chordata; Actinopteri; Scombriformes; Scombridae
Exons: 3
Source: RefSeq, a predicted model, not a curated record